Molecule: ribosomal RNA, 497 nt
Filed under: uncultured bacterium
Lineage: Bacteria
Description: partial 16S ribosomal RNA
Rfam family: Bacterial small subunit ribosomal RNA
Source: RNAcentral
GACGAACGCUGGCGGCGUGCCUAAUACAUGCAAGUUGAGCGCUGAAGGUUGGUACUUGUACCAACUGGAUGAGCAGCGAACGGGUGAGUAACGCGUGGGGAAUCUGCCUUUGAGCGGGGGACAACAUUUGGAAACGAAUGCUAAUACCGCAUAAAAACUUUAAACACAAGUUUUAAGUUUGAAAGAUGCAAUUGCAUCACUCAAAGAUGAUCCCGCGUUGUAUUAGCUAGUUGGUGAGGUAAAGGCUCACCAAGGCGAUGAUACAUAGCCGACCUGAGAGGGUGAUCGGCCACAUUGGGACUGAGACACGGCCCAAACUCCUACGGGAGGCAGCAGUAGGGAAUCUUCGGCAAUAGACGAAAGUCUGACCGAGCAACGCCGCGUGAGUGAAGAAGGUUUUCGGAUCGUAAAACUCUGUUGGUAGAGAAGAACGUUGGUGAGAGUGGAAAGCUCAUCAAGUGACGGUAACUACCCAGAAAGGGACGGCUGACUACGUG